Molecule: ribosomal RNA, 687 nt
Filed under: uncultured Lachnospiraceae bacterium
Lineage: Bacteria; Bacillati; Bacillota; Clostridia; Lachnospirales; Lachnospiraceae
Description: bacterial SSU rRNA
Rfam family: Bacterial small subunit ribosomal RNA
Source: RNAcentral
CACAUGCAAGUCGAACGAGAAUCUACUGAAAGAGUUUUCGGACAAUGGAAGUAGAGGAAAGUGGCGGACGGGUGAGUAACGCGUGAGGAACCUGCCUCGAAGAGGGGGACAACAGUUGGAAACGACUGCUAAUACCGCAUGAAGCAUAGGGGUCGCAUGAUCUUUAUGCCAAAGAUUUAUCGCUUCAAGAUGGCCUCGCGUCUGAUUAGCUAGUUGGCGGGGUAACGGCCCACCAAGGCGACGAUCAGUAGCCGGACUGAGAGGUUGAACGGCCACAUUGGGACUGAGAUACGGCCCAGACUCCUACGGGAGGCAGCAGUGGGGAAUAUUGGGCAAUGGGCGCAAGCCUGACCCAGCAACGCCGCGUGAAGGAAGAAGGCUUUCGGGUUGUAAACUUCUUUUAAGAGGGAAGAGCAGAAGACGGUACCUCUAGAAUAAGCCACGGCUAACUACGUGCCAGCAGCCGCGGUAAUACGUAGGUGGCAAGCGUUGUCCGGAUUUACUGGGUGUAAAGGGCGUGCAGCCGGGUCUGCAAGUCAGAUGUGAAAUCCAUGGGCUCAACCCAUGAACUGCAUUUGAAACUGUAGAUCUUGAGUGUCGGAGGGGCAAUCGGAAUUCCUAGUGUAGCGGUGAAAUGCGUAGAUAUUAGGAGGAACACCAGUGGCGAAGGCGGAUUGCUGGACGAUA